CAAAUAUGAAGAGGCAUAGACAGAGCAGACAGAGCUGAAGCAAGAUGGCUUUGGAUUCUGAACUGAGAGGAUUUGGAAGAUGAAGAUCUGAGGGUAACAAAGACUCCUGGGUUUGCAAAGCUCUGCAUCCUGGGGUUGACUUCUGAUGGGAAAACUGAGGCAGAGAACAUUAAUGGAUCAUGAAAAGAAGUGAAUUUAUCCAAACCUUCAUAGAAAUCACGUUGCCAUCAAAGAUUUUGAAGCAAGGCUUGGACUUCAAAUGAUAACAGUAUGGGUAAAGAUAUGAGAAGAGGACAUUCCAGGAUGAGGACAUGUAUGAGAAAAGGGGUGGAGAAAGGUAAGGAAUUUGAUGAUGUUCAUUAAAAGCUAUUGUAAAGUCUAUAGUCAUCACAUUAAUCAGAACUCUUGUGUUAAUAAGGGACAGUGUUUUAAGCCAAAAAGGAAAUUUAUUACCUCAUCUUACAAGAAAAUUCAAGCUUUGGCUUCAGGCAUUGGUGCAUCCAGGUGAUCAAAGAAUGUUAUCAGAAAUAUUUUUCUUUAAUCUUUCAUACUGUUUCUUUUGUGUUGGCAUUUUUUCAAGUAAUCUUUUCUUCAGGCAAAAAUGACCACCAAUAAUUUCAUUUUAAAUCCUAAUAGCUUAACAAUAUAAAUAAAUUGAUAUCAAUUCUUUCCUAAUAGCUACAGAAAAAUUUCAAAAGGUUUCUGCUAGUCAGAUGUACUAGUUAACCUAUUGCUUCCUAACCAAUCACCCUAAAACUCAUCAUUUAGGACAAUGAUAUUUCAUUAUUGCUCAUGAGUCUGCAGGUGGGACUAGUGGUUCUGAUAGUCUCAGUGGGACUCAUUGGUGCAUCUGAAGUCAGCUGUGGGACAACUGGCUGCUGAUCUCGUCUGGGCUCUCAACUUGUUUGGGCAACGGCAGACUGGUUGUUCUAGAGUAACGUUAGCUAGAACAACCAGGCUCUCCUCCUGUGUCUCUCACCCUCCAAAAACUUAGCCCAGACUUUUCUCAUGGCAGUUGCAUGGUUCUAAGAGAGAGGGUGGAAAUACACAAGUCAAAUUGAAGUCAAUACUUAGAAUUAGUACAUUACUUCUGCUGCAAUGUAUUUGUCCUGUUAAGUCACAAAGCCAGUCCAUAUUGAAAGGACUGGGAGGAACUGGGAAGAGGUUUAAAGUCACAUUGCAAGGGCAUGGAUACAGGGAAGGUGAAAAAUUGAGAUCAUUUUUACAAUCAAUCUCAUACUGGACUUAGGUCAGAGUCCUAUCAUUAAAUUAGUUCCUAUGAACCAGGUGUGAACAGAAAGCUUAGCAGUAAUGGUUUCUAAGGGAAAAGUGAAGGGCUGUUCCCAUAAGAAGUGAUGAUUAGAAAGCAAACUCAGCCGUUUUCCACUACAUGGGAUAUACAAGCAGGAAGUCAGUUUGUCAUAGUGUUUUAGAGCAUAAGGUUUUGAUUCAGACUGUUGAUAUUGGAAUCAUAACCCUGCCACUUCCUCUGUGUGUUUAAAACAUUACCUAACCUCCCAUAACCCAGUUUUCUCAUCUGUAGGAUAGAAAUAAUCACAGUUCUUCUCUCCUGGAGGUCUUUUAAGGAUUAAAUCAGACAAUACAAGUUAAGUGCUUUCAAGGGAACCUGGUACUUAGUAAAUGUUCACUAAAUCUUAGCUGUUUUGUAUUAUUAUUUGGCAAAAGUCAAGUUCUGAAAUAUUAUGACAAAAAGAGCCACCUAUCAGGAACAUGAUUUAAAGGAGAAAGCUUGACUUUCUUUACAAUGAUGGAGUGAGAUUCCUCCCUUUCAUUUCCACUAUACUUGCCUUACUGAAUUCAGUUUCUAGUAUCAUAUUAGAGCCCCAGGGGGAAAAUACCCUUCCAUAAAGAAAUUUAGGUAAAUUUCAGGCUUAAGGAAACAAAAGCUAUAAAUAUGAGUUUGUAGCAAGGACACAAAACUGUGUCAGCAUGGUUCCAGGGUAGUAUGGAGUUCAUCAUCAAUUAUUAAACAAGGUCAAUAUUUGUGGCACAGAGAAGGCUUUUAGCAUAUAUUAUUUAUGCAGAUGGUUGUAAUAGGUUCUCCAUCCUUGAACAGGGAGAUUUGAGAGUGGAAUACUAUUAACAAGAAAACUACUUGGCACAGGAAAUAGGAUAUCUUCUUUUCCAGGAAAUAGUUUCUCUCACUCUCUCUUCACUAUCUUAUUUCUACAAAAGGAAAGAAUCUCUAAUAAAUCUGUAAUUACUAUGCUUCUCCAUGCCUUAUAUUAUGGAGAAGGUGUAUAGGGAAGGAAGAAGAAGGUUCUAGGAAAAAAAUAAUAUUGGUUCUGGCCCUCAGGAAGCCUACAAUCUGGCUGGGUAAAUAUAGUUUCAAGUAUGAAGCAGGACAAUGGUCUAUAUUAACAAAUGCUGUAACAUGGAAUAGAGACAGAUAUUUAGGGGUUCAGUUCAGACAAGAAGUGAUCAGCAUGAGCUAAAAAAUCAUGAUGGGCAUAACAGGGGAUGGCAUUUCCCCCAAAGUGUGAUUGGGAGGCAAUGAAUCCCACCCAUUCAAUAAACAGAUACUAGCACAGGACAAUGUGAGAUCAUGUCCCUAUGGUCCAUGGGAAGAGCAUGCAUUGUGAUAGUCCAUUGACAACCAGAGAGGUUAGAAAACAUACAGGGCUUUUAAUGGUUACCUGUUAAAUGACCUGAUGGGGAAUUAGUUCUGAAUGUCAAAAGAUUAGUGUCCUUAAAAAUGAGCAAAAAGAAGAGGCAAGGGGCAGAAAUCAGAGCUCACAGAGAUUGGAACCAGCUACAUUGGACUCUUCCUCUCAAUCCCAGCCCCUGCCCCACUUUGUUUGACUUCAUCGAUCCUCAGUAUCCCCAUCUGUAAAAUGGAAAUUGCAAUAGUAGCUACUGCAUAUGGUUACCAUGAAAUCUAAGUAAAGCGGUUAACACAGUGCCUGCCACAGAAUGAUGAUUCAAUAAAUGUUAGCGCUAUUAACUUCUCUUAUUAUAGGUAUAAUUUGGGAAGUCAUAGAGUCAGAAUGUUAGAGCUGGAAAAAAUAUGACAUGCCAUCAAACCUAGCUCAGUAUAAUCUAGAGGUAUGACGUUCUCUUCUAACCAUCUUGCUUCUGAAGACAAGGCGGAAACUCAACCAAGUUGACUGCGAGUUUUUUUAUUUGCAUUUAUCUAUUGAUUUCCUCCAUAGAGGGCUUUUAUGAGACCAACUUAAUACAGCAUGUUUCCCCAUUUUCAUCAAGGAUUAUAAACAAGGUCAAUCUAUAUAGAGAUGGGCUUUCAGCAGAAACAGUGAUGUCAUCAUGCUCAAUGAGCUUCAUCGAAAGACUCUUCCAGAUAAUGAUGAGAGUAAAAUAUGCCCAGGUUCCCCUUUUGUUCCUUUAUUAAUGAAUUUGAGUCCACAGAAACUCAAUAAAGGUGACAGAGAAGGCUCAUGAGCAUCACUGAAAUCAUCCUUACCAGGGGCAACCUGCAUAUCACAAAGCCAAUUUUCCAUUAAUAAAAGACCAUACCCAGAGCAGGAUACUACGCUCUACUGCAUUUGGACUAUGUGUAGUAGAAGUGGUUCAUCUGAGUGGUGGCAGAGUCCCAAGCAUGCAAUUUGAGCUCAGUUGCUACAGGAUUUCAUUGGCUUCACUCUGGUCUUGGCUCGGUCCCUUCCUGGCCCCCACUUUUGACCAAAUUCAAACCCUCUUGCCUAGACUAUUGAGAGAGCCCCAUAGCUGGUUCUCCUACCUGUUUUCUCUUCCUAUCACCAAUCCGUUCUCCACAGGGCUGACCAAAAUAUCUUUCUCAAGCACAGACCUGCAAAUUCCCUACUUUUUAAAAGAUGCUCACUGGCUCCCCACUUCAUCUCUUAGCUUUUAUUGCCGCUGCUACUGUUGUUGCUAUUAUUGCCAUUAGAAUCACCAUCAUCAUCAUCAUCAUCAUGAUUAUCAUUUCUGGAUAAAAUCCAAACUCCUUUAAAUACAAUUCAAGAUCUUCAAAAUCAGCCACUGUUUCCAGCUUUAUAAUAAUUAAGAUAACUACCAUUUAUUGAAAGUUAAUACGUCACAGGUCCUCUGCUCAAUGGUUUACUUUCAUUAUCUCAUUUCAUUCUUACAACAAUCCUGAAAGGUAGUCUUAUCAUACCCAUUUAUCAGAUGAGGACACUGAAGCUAGGAAAAGUAAUGUAUCUUGCUUAAGGUCGCACAGUCAAUAAGCAACAGCCAGAAUUCAAACCCUGAUUUGUUCCACUCCCAAACCCAGGCUGUUAACCAUCAUUCUCUCAGCCUCAUCUCUGAUCACCUCUCCCACACUCCCAUCUCAUGCACACCUGACUACUGGCCCCUCUAAGGAAAACUGAUCCCGCAAAUUUUUCAGGCCAUUGCACAUACUUUUGCUUCUCCAUGGAAUGCUGGAACAUCCUCCAACCCAUCACAGCAAGGUAGCCACCUCAAAUGUCACUCUAGCAAUGCUGUGAGCCUCUGGCCCAGUGUCCAUGUACAGCGCUGGGUACACUCAUCUGUCAGGGGCUGCAGGCACUGGAUGCUAAAGCUAACCACUCAUAGCUCCCUUCCCCAGAAAUAUUGCCCUUGUCUUUCCUAGAGAUGUCCAGGAUGUGACCACACAGACACACACCCACUCAGGGCAAAUGACUGACUGAUGAAGAGAAAUAAAAACUCAGGCCCCUUGCGUUAGAUAGGACAACCUCUGUGGUGCAAUUUGAAAGUGCAUCUUUGCAUAGGUCCUUGCCCUGUCCUAUCCUACUUCCCUUACUACUUGGCUCCUCUAAGAGUACACCCUAAAUUAAUCCCCAUCUCAGGCUGUGCUUCUAGUGAACGGACUUAAGCCAGGCUCUUCCUCUGCGAUGCCAUUCCUUACCUCCCCAGAAAGACUUUAUAUUUUCAGCAUCAAUGCUCAUAGAACAUAUUUCCAUUAUGGCAUUUAGCAUAGCAUUUAACAGUGUUCUGAUAAUAUUGUACCGAAAGUCCUUCUCCUUCGAUAGAUCAUUGGUUCUUCUAGGUGAAGGACUGUGCCUUUUGAAGCUCUGUACCCUCACACAAUGACAAACAUUCAGGAGGCAGGCACUCCAUUUCCUCCAGCUCACAGGAAACUCUCCACCCUGCCUGUCAGACUGGAAGGGCCCUGAUCCAGAUACUUGGCUGUUACUCUGUCUGUCCCAUCUUCCAGCCCUCCUUCCCCACGACCCAGGCUCACAUUAUCAAGUUAUGUUUAAUUAAUCUAUUUUAGGGUCAGCUUUGCUUCUGCUUUCUCAUCCACAGACCCUCACCUGUCUGUCUCCUUGCCCCACCUCUGUUUAAUCUUCCUCUCUCCUUUACUGCUCAGACUUCACAGAAGUCCAGAAUUUAGGAGUACAAAUCAUCUUAUCAGAGCCAGUCCCUUGGCUGGAUGCAAAUGUAAGACCUCUUUGAUUUAUGAAUGUCAUGCUCUUCAGAGGGAGGGAGAAAUGUCCCAUUAAAUGAUAUCCAUCUCCCCAAUCCCAUUAAUAAGCUAAUUAAAAAAGUUAAAGAGAGCUUCCCUGGUGGCGCAGUG
Aethalodelphis obliquidens (Pacific white-sided dolphin) is the source of this 5518-nucleotide long non-coding RNA. RefSeq lists it as uncharacterized. The transcript is spliced from 3 exons. The record is from RefSeq and is a predicted model, not a curated record. NCBI's taxonomy places the organism in Eukaryota, Metazoa, Chordata, Mammalia, Artiodactyla, Delphinidae.